Molecule: ribosomal RNA, 460 nt
Filed under: uncultured bacterium
Lineage: Bacteria
Description: partial 16S ribosomal RNA
Rfam family: Bacterial small subunit ribosomal RNA
Source: RNAcentral
CCUACGGGUGGCAGCAGUGAGGAAUAUUGGUCAAUGGACGAGAGUCUGAACCAGCCAAGUAGCGUGAAGGAUGAAUGCCCUAUGGGUUGUAAACUUCUUUUAUAUGGGAAUAAAACGUUCCACGUGUGGGAUUUUGUAUAUACCAUAUGAAUAAGGAUCGGCUAACUCCGUGCCAGCAGCCGCGGUAAUACGGAGGAUCCGAGCGUUAUCCGGAUUUAUUGGGUUUAAAGGGAGCGUAGGUGGAUUGUUAAGUCAGUUGUGAAAGUUUGCGGCUCAACCGUAAAAUUGCAGUUGAAACUGGCAGUCUUGAGUACAGUAGAGGUGGGCGGAAUGCGUGGUGUAGCGGUGAAAUGCUUAGAUAUCACGAAGAACUCCGAUUGCGAAGGCAGUUCACUGGACUGCAACUGACACUGAGGCUCGAAAGUGUGGGUAUCAAACAGGAUUAGAUACCCUAGUAGUC